CUUCCCUUUUAGUGAUUUUACUAGAAAACAGCCGUCCCUGUUUAGAAGAUGUUUUCAGAUGGAUUCCUGAAUUGUUUGCUGCAUUAUCUUCCCUGGUGCAGAAGUUAAGCUGACUGACAUCAGCGAUAAAGGGGUGCAGGAUCCAGAAAAGAGAAGCCAGUAGUGAACACUGACCGUGGACAACAGAUGAAACAGACAGACGAACUAUCGCAAGAAGGUGUGGAUACAACAGUACAUUGAGAGCCGAGAAGGAAGGACUGUGCUGGAGUACUAAUUCUGAACAUGGCACUAGGUCUUUCAUGAACCCAAGGAGCUGAUAUAUUUCCAGAAACCCACCCCAUGGUACAUGCUCAGGUACUUCCAAUUUAAUGCAACCGCAAAUCUGAGAACUGUUGGGCACCCUAAGUUUGGUACAAUUCCCAAAAGAGGUUUUACUAUAUCCCACUUACAUGACAUUUCUGUUUUUUCUCUGCAUCCCACAGGUGCAGCCUGAUAGUUAAGGCACAUUUCUGAAAUUACUGCUUGAAAUAUACCUGCCUUGUUCGAUCUUUCUUUGACCCACUUGAGCACACAGCACGGUUCUUCCUUGAUCAUUAAAACAGAAAUGGGGUCAUUUUGUUCCAAAGGAUCCAGGGUGGCCAUGGGAUCCUCUGUGGCAUAAUGACUCCCUGUUAUACAGAACAGAUGGUCACCUUCAACCAAAUCAAUUAACCAAACCUUAACAAAUACAGUGCAACCUAUAUACAUAGAGGUAUAUACAUAGAGGAUGAUGGCGGUCAUGUCGAUCUAGGAAUGGAAGAGAAAAUAUGAUUGGCACAGUUAAAUGGGUUGAAAGAAGAACAGGAGUACUUGUGGCACCUUAAAGACUAACAAAUUUCCUUUCCAUUCCUUUACCUGGCUGCUAUGGAAUCACUUUAAUUUGAUCCCCUUCUUUGCUGGUAUUUGAACCUGAUAUACAGAGGCACUUGCUCCGUUUGUUAUGAUAACUGGACCCACCCAACGAGGACUAAGGACAUGGCCUUUUUCUAUAUAAUACCUAAACAUUACCUUUGUACCAACCACCCAUCCUACAUCAUUAAUGUGGCCUAACCAAGCACUAAUGACUUGGUUAUUAGCUUUUAGUUGAGGAGCUACUCGAUGUUGAAGACUGCUGAUGGUGUCUAGCAACUGUGACAUGUAUAAGUCUAUUUGCACCCUGGGAAGGUACUCAUCCGGUGGAACUCCUCCCACCCACUAAAGUUCAGGGGUGUGCAUAAUUCUCCCAGUUAGCAUCUCGUGCGGUGAAAACCCUCACACAGUUCUAGUAGAUCGCAUGGCCGCUAGGAUAUUUGGGAGUUUGCUAUCCCAAUCCCUUCCUUGCACAUCUAUUACUUUUCUAAGAGCAGUUUUCAUGGCUCUAUUAGCCUCUCGACGAUAACAGACUUUGCGGGUGAGCAGCUAUGUGCAACCGCUGUUUGAUGUUUAAGGCCGCACACAGCGCUUUUGUGACUUCACCCACAAAGUGUGGUCCUCUGUCUGAAUCUAUUUCUGAUGGGAUACCAAAUCGAGAAAAGGUUUGUUCCAGUAUUUCCUCCUUUAUGUUAGGCAACCACGCCACUUAGACACCCGUUCCAAAGUUUUGGACGCAGCAUAGUGUCCCUGGCCAUGAGCUACAGUUAUUAGUUCUUUUCGUGGAGUUAUUGGCAUAACCAGUACAGGUAAUUCACAGUUUGGUGAUGUUGCUAUAAUCAAUCCGUUUUUGUCCUUACAUAUCCUUGAUGUUUCCCUGCUGUUAAAAGGGCUUGGAGAUCAUUAUCCUGUUUUUGCAGGGUCAAGAUGCCAUGGCCUGCUGACACAUCUGGAGACGGCAUCUUAACUACAGCAGCUGAAAUUGGGUCUUAUCCCAUGUAUAUGCUGAUCCUAACCUAGCAGCUUGUUUUGCUAGCUGAUUGGCCUGAUUGUCAAGCGUGGCCAGAACCGACCCCCUUCGUAUGGGCUUUUACUUUGAACUCUUUUCUUCCAGAUGGGAAGGGCUUGAACCACCCAACUAGAAGCAGAACACAGACAGAUGUUUUCCUCAGGUGCUACCCCAGACGAUACUGCCAGGACCGCAAUUCAUUGUGCAGCUUGUGCUGACGGCGGCCUCACCGUACCCUGCACCACUUGCUGUGUCCCCUCCUGGAUUGCAGCAAACCCUGCAACAGGAUGCCCUUCGUGGUGACAAGCACUCCCAUCAACUGCCCAGAGUGUUAACCCUUUUCCUUGUACUUCUUCCCAGGAUGUUGCUAAGAAGAAUGGAGAUAGUAAGUCUAAAUCAGGAUCUGGCAACGGACAUUCGUGCUCAUCUCCUGCGGUAAUCGGAGCAUAGGGAAGGAUUCUCGUAUGGGGGGGAUCUUCUCAGUACGAAUAUCCCGAUUGACCAGACUUAGAGUCCAUCCCGCCAGCCGGGGAGAGGAUACCCUUCCCUCAUUAAUUCUUCCAGAGAUGACAUAUUUUACUGGAGUAUGGCAUGUCCUCACCACAAUGAGAGCUGUGCCACUUAAAUAUUCCCAAUGUGUUAGGGACCAUACCAGGGCGAAUACCUCACGUUCGCAAGCUGAAAA
Molecule: long non-coding RNA, 2582 nt
Organism: Mauremys mutica (yellowpond turtle)
Lineage: Eukaryota; Metazoa; Chordata; Testudines; Geoemydidae
Exons: 4
Source: RefSeq, a predicted model, not a curated record